Molecule: ribosomal RNA, 629 nt
Filed under: Vararia parmastoi
Lineage: Eukaryota; Fungi; Basidiomycota; Agaricomycetes; Russulales; Lachnocladiaceae
Description: partial small subunit ribosomal RNA
Rfam family: Bacterial small subunit ribosomal RNA
Source: RNAcentral
UGAAAUCCUCAUUUAUAUGCUGUUAGGCAUAAAUACCUAACUCUUUUUAGUUUUAGGUCUAUCUCAGAUAAGGUAAGGGAAAAUAAUGAUGCUACCUUUCUAUAGUGUUGUCAAAAUUUGGUGCCAGAAGACUCGGUAAGGCCAAAAACGCAAACGUUAGUCUUCUUAAUCAGGCGUAAAGGGUUAGUAGGCGGCUUUAAUCAACUUACACCAGAGAUACAAUUGUACAAUACAAAUAAUAUCUUUUUAAUUGUACAACUUAGAAAUUGUAUACUAACAAUCAUUCGUUCUUAUUUAUUUGUAUAAGAACUGUAUCUUUAAGUAUUGAAAAUCAGGGUAAGUCUAAUUUAAAGCUAGAAUCGGGAAGAGGUUAUAUUAUGAAAUGCUCAAAGUAGGGGUUUUAUCCUUAGAGAUUGAGUGGAACACUAAUAGCGAAAGCUAUUUUUCCAAUAACGAUUGACGCUGAGGAACGAAGGUAAGGUAAGGAAACAGGAUUUGAUACCCCAUUACCCUUUCUGUAAACGAUGAAUGGUAAUUGUUAGUUAUGGCCUAGGGCCCAUGGCUAGUUUUAAUGUUAACACGUUAACCAUUCCGCCUUGUGAGUACGAUUGCAAAAUUGAAACACAACA